RNAcentral lists this unclassified non-coding RNA (241 nucleotides) under uncultured Coprinopsis. Its description in RNAcentral is "sequence contains ITS1". Lineage: Eukaryota; Fungi; Basidiomycota; Agaricomycetes; Agaricales; Psathyrellaceae. The record is from RNAcentral.
UUGAAUAAAUCUGAUGUGGUUGUAGCUGGCUCUCCGGAGCAUGUGCACGCCCGUCACCUUUAUCUUUCCACCUGUGCACACACUGUAGUCCUGGAUACCUCUCGCUGCAAGGCGGAUGCAGAGGCUGCCGUGCUUUCGAAAGAAGGUCGGCUUCCUCUGAAUUUCCAGGUCUAUGAUUUCACACACCCCAAACGAAUGUUAUAGAAUGUUAUCAUAAGGCCUUAGUGCCUAUAAACUUAUA